This 490-nucleotide ribosomal RNA is filed under the name uncultured bacterium. Its description in RNAcentral is "partial 16S ribosomal RNA". It matches the Rfam family "Bacterial small subunit ribosomal RNA", at positions 29 to 506 of the family's 1533-position model. The record is from RNAcentral.
AGUGAACGCUGGCGGUAGGCCUAACACAUGCAAGUCGAACGGCAGCACAGUAAGAGCUUGCUCUUACGGGUGGCGAGUGCGGACGGGGGAGGAAAACAACGGAAUCUACUUUUUUGUGGGGGAUAAAGGAGGGAAACUUACGCUAAUACCGCAUACGGCCUACCGGUGAAAGGAAGGGAUCUUUGGAACUUUCGCGGAUGAAUGAGCCGAUGUCGGAUUAGCUAGUUGGCGGGGUAAAGGGCCACCAAGGCGACGAUCCGUAGCUGGUCUGAGAGGAUGAUCAGCCACACUGGAACUGAGACACGGUCCAGACUCCUACGGGAGGCAGCAGUGGGGAAUAUUGGACAAUGGGCGCAAGCCUGAUCCAGCCAUACCGCGUGGGUGAAGAAGGCCUUCGGGUUGUAAAGCCCUUUUGUUGGGAAAGAAAAGCAGCAGGUUAAUACCCCGCUGUUCUGACGGUACCCAAAGAAUAAGCACCGGCUAACUUCGC